RNAcentral lists this ribosomal RNA (755 nucleotides) under uncultured bacterium. RNAcentral's name for it is "bacterial SSU rRNA". It matches the Rfam family "Bacterial small subunit ribosomal RNA", at positions 8 to 796 of the family's 1533-position model. The record is from RNAcentral.
AGAGUUUGAUCAUGGCUCAGGAUAAACGCUGGCGGCGUGCCUAACACAUGCAAGUCGAACGCUCUCGCGCAAGUGAGAGAGUGGCGGACGGGUGAGUAAAACGUGGGUCAUCUGCCUUUCGGUGAGGAAUACCGGCGAGAAAUCGCCGACAAAACCGCAUGAGAUCGGUGAAAGCCGAGGAAAGUCGAAAGACGCCGAAAGAUGAGCCUGCGACCGAUUAGCUAGCUGGUGGGGUAAAAGCUCACCAGGGCGACGAUCGGUAGCUGGUCUGAGAGGACGAUCAGCCACACUGGGAUUGAGAACGGCCCAGACUCCUACGGGGGGCAGCAGUGAGGAAUUUUCGUCAAUGGUCGCAAGACUGAACGAGCAACGCCGCGUGCCGGAAGAAGGUUUUCGGAUCGUAAACGGCUUUUCUGUGGGAAGAGAAUGGACGGUACCACAGGAAGAAGCCCCGGCUAACUACGUGCCAGCAGCCGCGGUAAGACGUAGGGGGCAAGCGUUGUCCGGAUUUAUUGGGCGUAAAGGGCGUGCAGGCGGUUGGGUAAGUUUGGGGUGACAGUGCUCGGCUUAACUGAGCAAGGGCCUCGAAAACUGCUGAACUUGAGGACCAGAGAGGGACACAGAAUUCCGGGUGGAGUGGUGAAAUGCGUAGAUAUCCGGAGGAAUACCAAAGGCGAAGGCAGUGUCCUGGCUGGUAACUGACGCUGAGGCGCGAAAGCUAGGGGAGCGAACAGGAUUAGAUACCCUAGUAGUCC